Molecule: ribosomal RNA, 673 nt
Filed under: uncultured bacterium
Lineage: Bacteria
Description: bacterial SSU rRNA
Rfam family: Bacterial small subunit ribosomal RNA
Source: RNAcentral
AGAGUUUGAUCCUGGCUCAGGAUGAACGCUGGCGGUCUGCUUAACACAUGCAAGUCGAACGCAACCUUCGGGUUGAGUGGCGGACGGGUGAGUAACGCGUGAGAAUCUGCCUUGGGGUCGGGGACAACCACUGGAAACGGUGGCUAAUACCGGAUAAGCCUUUGGGUAAAAAAUUUAUUGCCCCAAGAGGAGCUCGCGUCUGAUUAGCUAGUUGGUGAGGUAAGAGCUCACCAAGGCAGCGAUCAGUAGCUGGUCUGAGAGGACGAUCAGCCACACUGGGACUGAGACACGGCCCAGACUCCUACGGGAGGCAGCAGUGGGGAAUUUUCCGCAAUGGGCGAAAGCCUGACGGAGCAAGACCGCGUGAGGGAGGAAGGCUCUUGGGUUGUAAACCUCUUUUCUCAGGGAAGAAGCUCUGACGGUACCUGAGGAAUCAGCCUCGGCUAACUCCGUGCCAGCAGCCGCGGUAAUACGGAGGAGGCAAGCGUUAUCCGGAAUUAUUGGGCGUAACGCGUCCGCAGGUGGCGAUUCAAGUCUGCUGUCAAAGCACGGGGCUUAACUCCGUUAAGGCAGUGGAAACUGAAUAGCUAGAGUGCCGUAGGGGUAGAGGGAAUUCCCGGCGUAGCGGUGAAAUGCGUAGAGAUCGGGAAGAACAUCGGUGGCGAAAGCGCUC